CAGCCGCCGCGGUAAUACGUAGGGCGCAAGCGUUAUCCGGAAUUAUUGGGCGUAAAGAGCUCGUAGGCGGUUUGUCGCGUCUGCCGUGAAAGUCCGGGGCUCAACCCCGGAUCUGCGGUGGGUACGGGCAGACUAGAGUGAUGUAGGGGAGACUGGAAUUCCUGGUGUAGCGAUGAAAUGCGCAGAUAUCAGGAGGAACACCGAUGGCGAAGGCAGGUCUCUGGGCAUUAACUGACGCUGAGGAGCGAAAGCAUGGGGAGCGAACAGGAUUAGAUACCCCAGUAGUCCCUGUCUCUUAUAC
RNAcentral lists this ribosomal RNA (301 nucleotides) under uncultured bacterium. RNAcentral describes it as "partial 16S ribosomal RNA". It matches the Rfam family "Bacterial small subunit ribosomal RNA", at positions 509 to 807 of the family's 1533-position model. The record is from RNAcentral.